CCGUGUGAAAAUCACAUCCCAACAACACAUAUUGCCCUCGAUAAAUUCUUACUUCUUCAUAAAUAUGUAAUGAAUAAUAUGGGUAUUGGCUACCGAAACCAAAACCAAGGGGAAAAAUACUAUGUAUGUAAAAAAUAAUUCAGUAAACUAUCGUAGGUAAAUGCCCCCUAUGGGCUGAACACUCUUCUUCUCAAAGCAGUUCAUCACCAUACAAGUUUAACUUGCCACAGGCUUUGCAAUGACUUUCUUGAUGGCUUCAGCAUAAGUUCUGUGCUGAUAGGUGAGAGUUGACUCAAGCAGGUCCCAAAGUGAGGUCUCAGGAUUCCAGCCUGAAAUAGGAGUGAGUGAUACAUCAUUAACAGGUAAAACAUUUUAUAUUAAUAACCUUUAAGGUAAAGUAACAAGGAAACAUACCAAGUUGCCUAUUAAUUAUGGUCAUGUCAGGUAUUCUUUUGUCGCUAUCAUCAUAUCCCUCGCCAUAAAAUUCUUUGGAGCUCACAUCAAUAGUAGGUUUUUCCAGAGGUGAUUCUCCACUUACCUUUGAAUAAACCUGCAGAAUUGAAUGAAAAUAAAUAUUUUAUGGCACCAAACACCACCAUUUUAAAAAUCUAAUAGGGUCAAACAAUCAAACUUGAUGCUUAAACCUGAGUCAUCAUUUCAGCAAGCUGCCUAACUGUAACCUCAUUGUUUGGGUUACCCACAUUGAAAAUAUGUCCAUUGGCCCUGCCAGGAUUUUCCUGUUAACAAGUUAUUGAUCACAUUUAGUGGAACAGCCAUCCAAUAAGAAUAAUACUUUAAAAGGUGAACUUCUACAAUCAGAUAAUCUGUACUUAAAAGUCAUAAAGUCUCAUUAAAGAUUGGAUAUGGAAGCCUACAAUCAUCAACAAGACAGCUUCAAUAGCAUCCUUAAUAUACACAAAGGUUCUCUGGGAUUGGCC
Molecule: long non-coding RNA, 938 nt
Filed under: Phaseolus vulgaris (common bean)
Lineage: Eukaryota; Viridiplantae; Streptophyta; Magnoliopsida; Fabales; Fabaceae
Description: long non-coding RNA (PVUL_LNC003161)
Source: RNAcentral